Long non-coding RNA from Bos indicus x Bos taurus (hybrid cattle), 2147 nucleotides. The record is from Ensembl. Lineage: Eukaryota; Metazoa; Chordata; Mammalia; Artiodactyla; Bovidae.
AAAAUCUUGCUUUCUGAUCCUUAUAUAUACGUUUAAAAACAAGCCAAAAUCAAAUUUCAGAGGUUAAAAUCUCAGGGCAAGGCUGAAUGGAAAUGUGAGACCAGCCAUGCUCAACUUAAGCGAGUAGUCCUGAGAUUUUUGCUCUCGUGUGCAGCAGCUGCCGUAGGACUCCUGGGAUGUGACGUAUCGGGUUUAGAAAACUGUCUUCCAUUUGGAUUGCCAUAAAAUGUAUCGGCAUAAACCUGGACACUUUUGAGUGGAAAAGGGGUCCUUCUACUACACAAAUACAACAUUUGAAAGCAGGUCCAUCCUGAAUAAGGCAGAGUAUAUGGUUAUAAUGAUACUGAUGCUUUAUUAUUAAACACAUGUCAAACACAAUUGAGUCUAGCAUUAAUUGAGCUGAUUGUAUGUAAUUUCUCCUUAAACUUUUCUGUAGUUCGUUGGGGCUUCUGUGGCUCAGCAGUAAAGAACCGGCCUGCAGUGCGGCAGAGUAGCAGGGGACCUGGGUUCGGUCCCUGGGUUGAGAAGACCCCCUGGAGCAGGAAAUGGCAACCCGCUCCAGUAUUCCGGCCUGGAGAAUUCCAUGGACAGUGUUAACUGACUUUUGUCUGUUUUAUCCGGUACUGAUAUCAGCAUGCUCUAUGGAAUCUAACGUUCACGCGAGUCUCGUGUGCCCGGCACACCUGCCGUCACCCUGCUUCCCCGCGUCCAGCGUCCUCCCAAGCAGAUGCUGUGUCACCCGCGGUUCAGCUUGGGGAUCAAGGCCUGCGUCCCCCAGGCUGUCGGCGGGCUCCACCUCUGGCAGCUCCAGCAAGGCCCUUCAUGGGAAGUUUCCUUCUGACAAACAGACCUGGUGCCAAAGGUACUCGCCAUCCGGGAGCAGUCCACGUGCCAGCCAGUCAGCACAGGGGUGAAGGUUUUGCCGUCCGUCAGCCCCAGGCAGUUUGGAGGAGACGCCGUUGCGCAGUUAAUGUUACCCUAAGCAUCAGAAACAAGACUUACGAAGAAAGAGAAGGCCGGGCAGCUGGACCCAGGGAGACGAGUGGAGAAAAUGAGAGCGCUGGUCAUCCCGAAUCUGGCAACGGAAUGAUUAGGCUGAGACGUAAUAUUUGUCAAAAUGUGUAGUAUUUUGCAAACGAAAUUUGUAAAGAUAGCAUCAAGUUAGAGAAUAUGUUUCUAGGAAAGAAUACAAGUUUCAGUUCAGUCCCUCAGUCGUGUCCGACUCUUUGUGACCCCAUGAAUCGCAGCACGCCAGGCCUCCCUGUCCAUCACCAAUUCCCGGAGUUCACCCAGACUCACGUCCAUCGAGUCAGUGAUGCCAUCCAGCCAUCUCAUCCUCUGUCGUCCCCUUCUCCUCCUGCCCCCAAUCCCUCCCAGCAUCAGAGGCUUUUCCAAUGAGUCAACUCUUCACAUGAGGUGGCCAAAGUACUGGAGUUUCAGCUUUAGCAUCAUUCCUUCCAAAGAAAUCCCAGGGCUGAUCUCCUUCAGAAUGGACUGGUUGAAUCUCCUUGCAGUCCAAGGGACUCUCAAGAGUCUUCUCCAACACCACAGUUGAAAAGCAUCAAUUCUUCGGCUCUCAGCCUUCUUCACAGUCCAACUCUCACAUCCAUACAUGACCACAGGAAAAACCAUAGCCUUGACUAGACGAACCUUUGUUGGCAAGUUUCAUGGAUAUCUAAUUAAUUCUGACAAAUUAUCUUUAAUUUAGUUGACGUUUGGACCAUGUCAGUAACAGUGUCUCAAACAAUCUAUUUCAAGUGUUAUUUUCUCCAGGGUGGAUAAUAUAAAACACUUUGCGGAGGUUCAUCUGGUCAUCCAGUCUUGUAAACAUCUCAGGAUCAGUGUGCCUUGUCCCCUGCAGAAGAAGUGAAGAUUUUGCAACCAAGUGGAGGUGGGUUGGAAAGGAAAGCCCAGAUUUUGUUAGUCGUGCCCCACGAGGGCAACUGAAGAGCUACUCAGGAUUUGUGAAGCUGUGGUUUAUAAAGCCAGCUACUUGAUGGCACGCACCCGCUUCAGGAAAAUCGCAUGUAAUGCUGACCCCCCUCCCCGCUACUGCUUUGGAAGAGCUCCUCAGAGUUAGCUGAAAUGCUGUCCUCCAGGCUAUGCUCCUCAUUUUGCCCCAAAUAAAACUUAAGUCUCAACUCUCA